RNAcentral lists this ribosomal RNA (460 nucleotides) under uncultured bacterium. RNAcentral describes it as "partial 16S ribosomal RNA". It matches the Rfam family "Bacterial small subunit ribosomal RNA", at positions 338 to 795 of the family's 1533-position model. The record is from RNAcentral.
CCUACGGGUGGCAGCAGUGAGGAAUAUUGGUCAAUGGACGAGAGUCUGAACCAGCCAAGUAGCGUGAAGGAUGACUGCCCUAUGGGUUGUACACUUCUUUUAUAUGGGAAUAAAACGUUCCACGUGUGGGAUUUUGUAUGUACCAUAUGAAUAAGGAUCGGCUAACUCCGUGCCAGCAGCCGCGGUAAUACGGAGGAUCCGAGCGUUAUCCGGAUUGAUUGGGUUUAAAGGGAGCGUAGGUGGAUUGUUAAGUAAGUUGUGAAAGUUUGCGGCUCAACCGUAAAAUUGCAGUUGAAACUGGCAGUCUUGAGUACAGUAGAGGUGGGCGGAAUUCGUGGUGUAGCGGUGAAAUGCUUAGAUAUCACGAAGAACUCCGAUUGCGAAGGCAGCUCACUGGACUGCAACUGACACUGAGGCUCGAAAGUGUGGGUAUCAAACAGGAUUAGAUACCCGGGUAGUC